GCCUGGGUGGCUCAGUCGGUUGAGCAUCCGACUCGUAAUUCCAUUUCGGGUUGUGAUCUCGCGGUUCGUGGGUUCGAGCCCCAUCUUGGGCU
This 92-nucleotide transfer RNA is filed under the name Felis catus (domestic cat). It matches the Rfam family "tRNA". From Rfam's summary of the family: Transfer RNA (tRNA) molecules are approximately 80 nucleotides in length. Their secondary structure includes four short double-helical elements and three loops (D, anti-codon, and T loops). Further hydrogen bonds mediate the characteristic L-shaped molecular structure. tRNAs have two regions of fundamental functional importance: the anti-codon, which is responsible for specific mRNA codon recognition, and the 3' end, to which the tRNAs corresponding amino acid is attached (by aminoacyl-tRNA synthetases). tRNAs cope with the degeneracy of the genetic code in two manners: having more than one tRNA (with a specific anti-codon) for a particular amino acid; and 'wobble' base-pairing, i.e. permitting non-standard base-pairing at the 3rd anti-codon position. The record is from Rfam by way of RNAcentral. RNAcentral also lists the same sequence under 2 other names. Lineage: Eukaryota; Metazoa; Chordata; Mammalia; Carnivora; Felidae.